AGUUUCCCACAGCCCCUCCCAAUGCCCCCUCCCUCUCCUCUAAAAAAGAGCGUUCCUCACUUUGUUCUUCCGUUUCUUCUCCAGACUUGCCUGUGGUUUUGCUGGGGCUGGCGUGUCCCAAAUUAUAAUUCUCUGCUAUUCCCAGAACUGGACUGUUCCUCUUGGAACCAUGCCUGUUGGAAAUGAGCUGGCCCUUCGUCUGAUUUCUUCUGGAACAAGGCUACUCCUGUAGAGACCAGUGUCUAUAAACUUUUUUUCUGGUCUAGAGAAAACUACCAAGAAAUGGAUUCCAAUUAUCAAAGCGCAUGGAGGGGGGACCCAACUGGGACCCUGGCCAAUCUUAGGUUUAAAAACCA
This is a long non-coding RNA of Panthera uncia (snow leopard), 356 nucleotides long. RefSeq lists it as uncharacterized. Lineage: Eukaryota; Metazoa; Chordata; Mammalia; Carnivora; Felidae. The record is from RefSeq and is a predicted model, not a curated record. The transcript has 2 exons.